Long non-coding RNA from Cyprinus carpio (common carp), 6180 nucleotides. The record is from Ensembl. Lineage: Eukaryota; Metazoa; Chordata; Actinopteri; Cypriniformes; Cyprinidae.
UGCACUUUGUGGGACUUUGUUACUGAGACUUAGAAGGACUGUAUAUUGAGUUCUAUUGCCNGCAUCUAGGACAGAAUAGUAAAAAGGCAACCGCUCAGUAGGUACUGAAGUUCAAGGAAAGCAAGCUUCAACUCCAUCAUUCCUCGUUCAUCAUCACGCCCUGUACUCCUAGACAGUAUUAGCAAUUCAUGAUGGCGGAGAAAUCUACGGAGGCUGAGAAAGCUAUGGAGGCUGGGGAAGCUACAGAGCGAAGUCAAGCAUUUGAAACAAGAUCUAUAGCUUCUGCUUCGACUAAUAGAUCUAGAAGCUCAUCGGCUAGCGCAGCUGCUGCCAAGGCUCGCGCUAAACUGGAAGCUGCACGGGCCAGGACUGAAUUCCUUAAAAAAGAAUCCGAAAUCUUGAUUGAGAAAGCUCAACUGAAAGUUACAGAGGCAUGCAUGGAAGCGUCACUGGCAGCUAUAAAGCAUGAAAGUGAGGUGGCAGCAGCCAUUGCGGAGACGAAGGUUUUGGAGGCAGCAGCAGAUAGUGAACUUGGAGAAAGGAUUUCCGAUGUGAAAGAAGUUUCUGAUCGCACUCGUGAUUACGUCAUGAAUCAGUCUCAACUGAGGUUAUUGUCUCCGGCUGGAGAUGAGCCAUGUCAACUACCUCUAAAGCCCAUUGUCCAUGUGUUGAGGCCUGAGACACCUCCAAGGCAUCAUCGCUUAGCAUCUUGGGAUGUCAGAGAUUCUAACAAUAAACCUGAUACUGAGAGUAUAACGCAGCAUCCUCAGAAGUCAGUGCAAACAACUAGUCAAAAAUACCAAAUUCCACCGUUCACUUCUUCUCCAUAUAAGACAACACCACAACCAUCGUUCAACAACGACACUAAUGUGAGUGAGGUCGCCAGGUACUUAGCACGCCGAGAGCUUGUUAAUUCAGGGCUCUUCAAGUUUGACGAUCGUCCCGAGAAUUAUUGGGCGUGGAAGUCCUCUUUCAUCAACGCAAUUGAAGGUUUGCACCUAUCAGCUGCUGAGCAGUUAGACCUUCUGUCUAAAUGGUUGGGAGAACAGUCUUCACAACAUGUGCGAAGGAUCANCACACAGGUAAUCCAAACGCAGGCUUGGGAAAAGCAUGGGAGCGCUUGGAAGAUUGCUAUGGCUCUCCAGAGAUUAUUGAGAAAUCCCUCUUUGACAGGAUUGAUAGCUUUCCAAAAAUCAGCAACAAAGAUGCGAAAAAGCUUAGAGAACUUGGAGAUCUUCUACAGGAAGUGGAGUCUGCGAAACAUGAAGGCUACCUACCCGGACUUACUUAUCUUGACACCGCACGUGGUGUUGCUCCCAUCGUAGAUAAGUUACCUUACAGUCUUCAGGAGAGGUGGAUGGCUCAAGGUUCUCAGUACAAAUCAGCACAUCAAGUCGCCUUUCCUCCAUUCUCAUUCUUCUGUGAUUUCAUCAGCAGAGAGGCUCGAACACGCAACGAUCCAAGUUUUGCUCUGUCUUCAGGAAUCCAUAGUGUGUUGAAACCAGAGCAGCAAUUCAAGAGACAAAUGAAAAGCUCAGUCUACACUCACAAGACGGAAGUGUCAGCAGCGACUGUGAGUCAGACACACAGCUCAAACUAUGAGUUGGAUGAUGUGAAUAAGGUCUGCCCGAUUCAUAAGAAGCCCCACCCUCUCAAUCGUUGCAGAGGUUUUAGGAUCAAACCUCUGGAUGAGCGCAAGACUUUUCUAAAGGAGAAAGGUGUUUGCUACAGGUGCUGUGCAACAACCACUCAUCUGGCCAGGGACUGUAAGGCAGCUAUUAAAUGUAAGGAAUGUGGCAGUGAUGCUCAUAUCGCAGCGCUUCAUCCAGGACCACCGCCUUCAAACUUAUUUGAUCAUGGCGGGGAGGGAGAGAAAGACACGCCUCAACCUGCUAUAACUUCCAAGUGUACAGAAGUCUGUGGUUACGGUGAAUGUUCACGGUCAUGCUCUAAGAUUUGCCUGGCUAAGGUUUACCCAGAAGGCCACCCAGAAGGAGCAAUCAAGCUUUAUGUGAUCCUGGAUGAUCAGAGCAAUAGAUCGCUCGCUAGAACCAAGUUCUUCGACUUGCUGCAUGUCAAAGGAGAGAACUCAACAUAUACUCUACGUACCUGUGCAGGUGUGACAGAGACUGCGGGAAGAAGAGCUACUGGUUUCAUUAUAGAGUCUUUAGAUGGAGUAAUGAAGGUGAAAUUGCCAACAUUGAUCGAAUGCAACAAUAUGCCAGACGAUAGGGCCGAGAUACCAACACCUGAUGCAGCACGUUGGCACACUCACCUAAAGCCCAUCGCGAAUUGCAUUCCUCCUUUGGAUCCAGAAGCCCAAAUUCUUCUCCUUUUGGGUCGUGACAUCCUUCAGGUUCAUAAAGUACGGGAGCAACGUAAUGGUCCUAAUAACGCACCCUACGCACAAAGACUAGACCUAGGAUGGGUCGUAGUCGGAGACGUCUGCUUAGGAUCUGUCCACAGGUCUGCAGCACUUAGUGCUUACCGUACCCAUGUACUUGAUAAUGGACGUCCUUCUCUACUUCCUCCAUGUCCCAACAAACUCAGUGUUAGGGAGAAGUUUGACAUCAAGCCUCCGCCUGAGAUAUCUCUGGCGCACGGCACCUUCAUCUUUGAUGACUAUGCCAUAGGAGAUACCAUCUUUGAGAGGACAAAGGAGGAUAAUAAAGUUGGAUUGUCUAUUGAAGACAGGCGUUUUUUGGACAUCAUGGAUAAAGAGAUGUUCAUGGACGAGAGCAAUAGUUGGGUCNCUCAUUUUGUUACCUUCAUGCAGAACAUCUUUGAUCGUGACCAUGCCGAAGUAGCCCCUCCUCUUCGAGAAGGCCAGGAAUGUUGGUAUUUACCUACCUUUGGGGUGUACCACCCACAGAAGCCUGAUCAGAUCAGAGUUGUCUUCGACUCCAGCGCGCAAAAACAGGGCAUCUCCUUGAACGAUGUUCUUCUCUCUGGUCCUGACUUAAAUAAUAGCCUCUUGGGAGUCUUACUACGUUUUAGAAGGGAGCUGGUAGCUGUAACUGCAGACAUCGAACAGAUGUUUCACAGCUUCAUUGUGAAAGAGGAAGAUAGAGACUUCCUUCGUUUUCUCUGGUUCAAGGAUAAUGACACCAGCAAAGGGAUUAUUGAAUACCGCAUGAAGGUGCACGUGUUCGGUAAUAGUCCAUCUCCUGCUGUAGCCAUUUAUGGUCUUCGACGAGCAGCGGCUUAUGGUGAGGAGGAAUAUGGUUCAGAUGCCAGACACUUUGUAGAGAGAGAAUUCUACGUCGAUGAUGGACUUUUGUCAACACCCACAGCUGCCGGAACAAUCGAUCUGUUGACACGAACAAAGAAAAUGCUGGCAACUUCAAAUUUAAAAUUGCACAAGUUUGCUUCUAAUAGCAAGGAAGUAAUGAAUGCAUUUCCGACCGAAGAUCAUGCGAAGGGACUCAAAGAUCUCAACUUGGAAGUUGACCCUACCCCCAUCCAACGUAGUCUCGGACUUAGCUGGGAUGUGAAGGGGGACACAUUCACCUUUCAUGUAACCGACAUUAAGAAGCCCUUUACUCGGAGAGGGAUACUGGCUACUGUCAACAGUCUCUUCGACCCACUUGGGUUCGUUGCCCCUGUCAUCAUUGAAGGGAAAUUCCUGCUACGAGAACUCUCAGGUGAGACUUGUGACUGGGAUUCUCCCCUCCCUGAAGACAAGGAAGAAGCAUGGAAUGCAUGGAGGAGAUCCCUACAAGAUCUAAAACAGCUGGAGAUUCCUAGAACAUAUGUUUAUACUGCUCUCUCUACAGCUCUGAGGAAGGAACUCCACAUUUUCUCUGAUGCUUCUGUCAAAGCGAUUGCAGCAGUGGCAUAUCUUCGUGUCAUCAAUGGCGAAGGAGCAUGCCACACUGGGUUCAUAUUGGGGAAGGCCAAAUUAGCUCCACAAGCUGCUCAUACCAUUCCCAGGCUGGAACUAGGAGCUGCGGUUUUAGCUGCAGAGAUAGCAGAGAUAAUCACAAACGAGCUGGACUUCACUUUAGAUGCUGUGGAGUUUUACACGGAUAGUAGAGUCGUCCUGGGGUACAUCUAUAACCAGACAAGACGGUUCUAUGUAUACGUAGCCAACAGAGUGCAGCGUAUCCAUAGAGUGUCAAACCCAAUGCAAUGGCACUAUGUGUCUACUAAGCAUAACCCUGCAGAUCAUGCCACCCGCUCCGUUCCUGCAGCUCUGUUGGGCACCACCACCUGGUUUACAGGACCUGCCUUCCUGUCGCAAAUGGAUCCGAAUCUGUCUCUGGAGGAGAGGGAAUUUGACCUCCUCGGGCCAGAGUUGGACACAGAAGUUCGCCCUCUUGCUACUACUGUAUCCGAUGAUUUUCAUCUUGAAUGUCAACGAUUCGAGCGAUUCUCUUCUUGGAGGUCAUUAGUCAGAGCCAUAGCUUUUCUCAUACAUGUCGCCCAGACUUACAAGUCGUCUGAUGAUAGAGAAAGAGCCUGCAGCUCAUGGCACUACUGUGCUAAGCCUCGUACAGUGAAAGAGUUGUUACAAGCAGAGGAAGUUGUAAUCAAGAGUAUUCAGAGGGAAGCUUACCAAGAAGAGCUCACCUGCAUCGCCAAAAAAGAUGACAUCCCGAGGCACAGUGCUCUGAAAAAACUGAACCCUUACGUAGAUAGUAGAGGUCUUCUCAGGAUAGGAGGUCGGCUUAAAAAUGCAACUUUGGAUCUCCAAGAGAAGUUUCCUUUGAUUGUUCCAGGACGCAGUCAUGCUGCGAAGCUACUUGUGGAGUAUUACCAUGAUCGAGUCAAGCAUCAGGGUCGUGUGUUUACUGAAUCAGCUAUCCGCAAUGCAGGGUAUUGGAUUGUUGGUGUUAGGAAGCUUAUCAACAGCAUUGUACACAAGUGCAUCAUAUGCAACAAGCUUCGUGGGAAGGUAACUGAGCAGAAGAUGGCGGACUUGCCCAUUGAUCGCCUGAGCACUGAACCUCCCUUCACGAACGUCGGUCUUGAUGUUUUUGGACCUUGGACAGUUGUCGCAAGGCGCACGCGAGGAGGACAAGCUCAGAGCAAAAGAUGGGCUGUUCUUUUCACUUGUAUGAGUAUUCGUGCCAUACAUAUUGAGCUGAUUGACAGUAUGGAUUCAUCCACCUUUAUAAACGCCUUGAGAAGGUUUUUUGCUCUACGAGGUCCUGUCAAACAAAUUCGGUCUGAUUGCGGGACCAAUUUUGUAGGAGCCUGUAAAGAGCUGGAAAUUGUGGUAAAUGAUCCUCAAGAGCCUAGUGUGAGGAAGUACCUGAGUGGAGAGGGUUGUUCAUGGGUCUUCAAUCCACCUCAUGCAUCCCACAUGGGAGGAGCCUGGGAGCGGAUGAUAGGAGUCUCCAGGCGCAUACUAGAUUCCAUGCUCCAACAGAUCAGUCCUUCCCGCUUGACACAUGAAGUGUUGUCCACCUUGAUGGCAGAGGUUACAGGAAUCGUUAAUUCAAGACCCCUUGUUCCUAUUUCAACAGACCCAGAUUCACCUUUCUUGUUAACGCCAGCCAUGCUCCUAACUCAAAAGGGUCAUACACUCCUCCCACCUCCAGGUGAUUUCAAGGAAACCAAUCUCCAUAGACAGCAAUGGAGAAGGGUGCAACAUCUUGCUAAUACUUUCUGGAAUAGAUGGAGGCGUGAAUACCUCUCAACGCUUCAAAGCCGAAGCAAAUGGCAAGAGGAACGACGAAAUCUAAGAGAGGGCGAUGUUGUCCUUCUUAAGGAUGCUCAAAGUAAGCGCAAUGAAUGGCCUAUGGCUCUUGUGACCAAGACUUUUCCUGGCAGUGACAAAAGAGUCAGAACGGUUGAACUAAGAGUUGCAAGGAAUGGGACAAUCAAGACAUUCCUCAGACCUAUAUCGGAAACAGUUCUGCUCAUGCCAACGGAGGACUGAUAUUUGUGAGGUCUUAUGUGAACAUUCUCAGGUUAUAUGGUGGUAUCUAAACAAUACCAGGCGGGGAGUGUCAUGACAUACAUUUGUUUUUUAUUUACUAGCACCAUCUUGUNACGACUUUGUGAGCUCAUCAUGCACUUCCGGGAAGAAAGGCACUGUGGCGUGGCGCUGAGAACCAGCGCGUGCCACCCCGAGAUACCAAUCAUCCAGCCUCGAUGGCUCGGGAUGCGGUGGAGGAUUCCACUCGAGCCCUACCAUCUCAGCGGCCCGGGAAAGCAUAGCUGCCAUUUUGG